Molecule: long non-coding RNA, 253 nt
Filed under: Theobroma cacao (cacao)
Lineage: Eukaryota; Viridiplantae; Streptophyta; Magnoliopsida; Malvales; Malvaceae
Description: long non-coding RNA (TCAC_LNC001460)
Source: RNAcentral
CCAGAUAUUACUGGGCCAUGGUUGAUUUACAUCAGUCAAAGGUGACUUAGGAAACAAUUAAUUAGAGCCCUUAUAAUGAAAGAAUCUAAACCUAUUAAUUAAAGAGUGACUUGCAAGCUCUAUAAAAGAAAGGGUGGGAUCUACCAAAUUCUCUCUAUCCCUGUAAUUGAUAUACAGGUAAAAAAAAAGUUUGAGUUUGUAGAAGUACACGACAUUGAACCAUGGCCAACAACCACUCAAAAGCCAAUCCCAC